This 669-nucleotide ribosomal RNA is filed under the name uncultured archaeon. Its description in RNAcentral is "bacterial SSU rRNA". It matches the Rfam family "Archaeal small subunit ribosomal RNA", at positions 208 to 879 of the family's 1478-position model. The record is from RNAcentral.
GAUGGGGCUGCGGCCGAUCAGGCCGUUGGCGAGGUAACGGCUCACCAAACCUUUGACCGGUACGGGCCAUGAGAGUGGUAGCCCGGAGAUGGACACUGAGAUAGGGGUCCAGGCCCUACGGGGCGCAGCAGGCGCGAAAACUCCACACUGUACGUAAGUACGAUGGGGUUACCUCGAGUGUAGUCUGUAAAAGAUUGCUUUUCCAUAGAGUAAUAUCCUGUGGGAAUAAGAGGGGGGCAAGACUGGUGUCAGCCGCCGCGGUAACACCAGCCCCUCGAGUGGUAGGGACUUUUAUUUGGCCUAAAGCGUUCGUAGCCGUCUGUAACCGUUGCCCGUUAAAUCCAGCGUCUCAAGCGUUGGACUGCGGGCGAUACCUUACAGAUUGAGGGUGGGAUAGGUAAGCGGUAUUUCUGGGGUAGGGGCGAAAUCCUUUGAUCCCAGGAGGACCACCAGUGGCGAAGGCUGCUUACUAGAACACGCCUGACGGUCAGGAACGAAAGCUGGGGUAGCGAACCGGAUUAGAUACCCGGGUAGUCCCAGCUGUAAACGAUGCGCGCUAGGUGUUGGGUCGGCCAUGCGCCGCCCCAGUGCCGCAGGGAAGCCGUUAAGCGCGCCGCCUGGGGAGUACGGCCGCAAGGCUGAAACUUAAAGGAAUUGGCGGGGGAGCAC